This 16972-nucleotide long non-coding RNA is filed under the name Phoenix dactylifera (date palm). RNAcentral's name for it is "long non-coding RNA (PDAC_LNC004719)". The record is from RNAcentral. Lineage: Eukaryota; Viridiplantae; Streptophyta; Magnoliopsida; Arecales; Arecaceae.
AAUAAGCCCUCCCAUACCAGUUUUGAGGAAGGCAUAGAACUCCUGAACUAAUCCGGGGUAGAUUACCACAUCUAGGGAGCAAAGAUACUCCCAACCUUGCCUUUGGAUCCAUUCCCUCAACCGAAACCCUUCUUGAUCAAAGAACUCGGAAUGGAUCCUUCUCCCCGUUGUAACCAGCCUUCCCGCAAAUCUUGCAAGUAUCACUGAGGGGGAAGGAGGAGGGGCCUCCGCACGUACCUCACGUCGUGGAGACACGGGAGAUGGCUCCGUAGGUUGCCUUUCCUCCUGUUGAAUCCGUGUGACUCUUCCGGAUCUCUUGGCUACGGCUCUUUUGGGUCCCAUUUCUCUAGGAUCUCAAGGAAAUCUACUGUUUGGAGAUGAUUGGAGAAGAUUUGAGAGUGGGAAAAAGUGGUCUCAUCAGGAAUCAUCGACCAUCGAGAUAGUCCCUGUGAGUCUCAUCAUCCACCAGCGACACCUAGCAGCAUGUGGUGGCCACCCAGCAGAAUGGAAUGACGAACCUCUAGGUGCAGUUAUCGUAUGAUACAGUCCUUCUAUCGUGGAUCCCUACAGGACAGAGGUCAUGGACAACUCGUCAAACCGCAUCGUCUGUCAUAUGUCAGGAUUUAUUCGACUUAAGUUCGAGAGUGGAAAACUUUUUCUCCACUGUACGUACUGCUUCGGCCGAGUUCUUACGAACUCAGUCUUAUAAAUCAUAUAGGAUCACUCUUUAUCUAUCAAAGUCGAUAGAUUCUAUGUAGGUGCAUACCCUACUCCUAUAAUGAACCUACUACAGCCAAUCUAUACUACAAGGGCUCGUAUAUUUAGAAACCAUGUAUACAUGCAGUCAAACUACAAUAAUCUCACUGUGAGUAGCCGAAGUACCGCAGGUCAAAAGACCAGUCACACUACUGCAACAUCAAGCAAGUCACUGACGAGUGGAUAGAUAUCCAAGUGACUUCUUGUCUUGGUCACGCUCAGUACCCUUGUUCUCUAACAAGCACCUGCACUAUCACUUCAGUGUCCCCACACCAUGGACUCGAGUCUCGUCUAUCCAUAAGGAAAGCAAUGUGUGCACUGAUCUCAUUGGAUCGAUCACCGUCCUCGUGAUGAUCCAUCGAUCAGGAGCAUUAGAAAUUAAUCACCAAUGAUACAUGGCUCAAAUUCUCAACUCUUGAGAAUAUGCAUCAUCUUAUUAAUUCCUUGGAUGAUUCACAGACAUAUAAACAAUAUGAAUGAAAAAGAUGUCUUUUUAUUAUUCAAUAAUAAUAAAGUUAAGUACAAAAUUAUAUUCAGAAUUAAUAAUGUGUCAGCUAGAUUGGCUUCUAGGGCAUUUGUUUAACAAUCUCCCACUUGCACUAAAGCCAAUCAGUCAUAUAUUUAAGUUCCAUCUUCUAAAGGUGGGCUUCAGUCUUCUGCUAACUUAGCUGCUUAGUGAACGGGUCUGCCAUGUUAUCCGUGGAGUCUACUCUCUGCACCUCUAUAUAUUUUUUCUUGACGUAGUCGUGUAUGAGGUGAAAGCGCCGCUCUAUGUGCUUGGACUUCUGAUGAGACCUUGAUUCCUUAGCAAGAGCUAUGGCGCCAUUAUUAUCGCAGUAGAGUGUUAUGGCAUCUGAUGACAUUACAUCCAACUUUGCAAUGAAUUUCUUAAACCAGAAGGCUUUUUUUGCAGUUUUAGAGGCGGCGAUAUAUUCAGCUUCCAUAGUAGAAUCAGCAAUGAUCGGUUGUUUGAAACUCUUCCAAUUUACCGUACCACCAUUGCACAAGAACACAUAUCCAGAUGUAGAUUUUCUAUCAUCAAUAUCAGUCAUGAAAUCUGAAUUUGUGCAUUCUUCUACUUUUAACUCUGAUGCUUCUCCAAAAACUAAGAACAAAUCUUUAGUUCUUCUCAAGUACUUAAGAAUGUUCUUCACAGCUGUCCAGUGCUCUUCAUCUGGAUUCGACUGAUAUCUGCUAGUGACACUCACAGCAAGGGCUAUAUCAGGUCGUGUACAUAGCAUGGCAUGCAUGAGACUCCUUAUUGCCGAAGCAUAAACGAUCUUGUUCAUGCGUUGAAUCUCUUCAGAUGUGUUGGGGCACAUCUUUUUGGAGAGAUGAAUCCCAUGCCUAAGGGGUAAAAGAUCCCUUUUUGAGUUUUCCAUGCUGAACCUCUUCAGCACUUCCUCUAUGUACAUCUUCUGUGAUAGGCCAAGCAUCCUCUUAGAUUUAUCUCUAUAGACUUUAAUCCCCAAAAUAAAGGAUGUUUCCCCAAGAUCUUUCAUGGAGAAUUCUUUUGACAACCAGACCUUGACCAAGGUUAGUACGGAAAUAUCAUUCCCUAUCAAGAGGAUGUUGUCUACGUAUAAUACGAGAAAUACGACAACACUCCCAUUAACCUUCUUGUAAACACACGGUUCAUCUUCAUUUUUGACGAAAUCAAACGUUUUGAUUGCAUCAUUGAAAUGAGUGUUCCAACUCCGAGAUGCUUGCUUUAGUCCAUAAAUGGAUCUUUGCAGCUUGCAGACCUUGUGAUCUCCUUCACUGGAAGUGAAACCCAAAGGCUGCUCCAUAUAGAUAUCUUCAUCAAGAUAUUCAUUCAGAAAAGCAGUUUUCACAUUCAUCUGCCAAAUUUCAUAAUCAUGAAAUGCUACAAUGGCAAGCAAUGUUCGAAUAGAUUUUAGCAUGGCUACAGGUGAAAAGGUCUCUUGAUAGUCAAUGUCUUCGUGCUGACUAUACCCUUUCGCCACUAUCAUUGCUUUGUAGGUCUCUACCUUUUCAUCCGAAGCUAUUUUUCUUUUGUAGAUCCAUUUACAUCUAAUAGGUACAAUACCUUCUGGUGGAUCCACAAAAGUCCAGACUUGGUUGGAAUGCAUUGAGUCUAUUUCUGACUGCAUGGCUUCCAGCCAUUUUACAGAAUCGAUAUCUGAUAUCGCCUCGUUGUAGAUAUUGGGAUUCUUUAUAUUUUCCCUAUCUCCCAUGAGGAACAUUUUCUUGGUGUCCUCUAUAAGCAUACCUAAGUAUCUAUCAGGAGGAUGAGAGAUCCUACUAGAUAUACGACGUGGAGGAGGUACAACGUGUACUGGCUCUAAGGUUCUAUAGGAUCCAUAACUCGUUGCUUUUCAGAGACUUUCUCUUCAAGCUUAAUUUUCCUCCCACUGCCUCUAUCAAGGAUAAACUGUUUUUCCAAGAAGAUAGCAUGUCGGCUCACAAACACAUUGUGAUCCUCUAAGACGUAAAAAUUAUAUCCUAAUGAUUCUUUAAGAUAUCCUAUAAAACGAGCACUUAUGGUCCUAGCCUUUAGCUUGUCCGCCUGUAGUUGUUUGACGUGGGCCGGACAUUCCCAAAUCUUGAGAUGACCAAGACUCAGUUUCUUACCAUGCCAUAUCUCAUACGGUGUGGUAGGAAUGGAUUUAGAGGAAACUCUAUUCAGUAGAUAAAUUGCGGUAAGGCAUCUUCCAAAGAAAUAUAGGUAAAUCAGUGAAGCUCAUCAUGUACCGGACAAUAUCCAAUAGAGUCCGAUUCCUCCUUUCUGAUACCCCGUUGAGUUGAGGUGUAUCCGAAGGAGUCCAUUGUGAAACUAUGCCAUUUUUCUUGAGAUAGUCCCAAAAUUUUCCACUAAGGUAUUCUCCUCGAUCUGAUCGAAGAGCCUUAAGGAGUUUUUCAGUUUGUUUUUCUGCUUCAUUUCUGAACUCUUUGAACUUUUCAAAAGACUUAGAUUUGUGUCUUAUAAGAUACACAUACCCAUAUUGUGAAUAAUCAUCGAUAAAGGUAAUGAAGUACGAAUAACGACCCCUGGCUAGCACAUCAAAUGGGCCACACACGUCAGUGUGUACCAGAGUAAGUAUUUCAGUGGUCCUCUCCCAUGUCACACAAAGAGUAAUCUUGCCAUUUUUUCUUGAAGACAGGACUUGCAAACUGGAUAUAACUCGGAAGUCAAUGAGCCGAGAAGCCCAUCUUUCUUCAUUUUGUUCAUUAUGUCUUCUCCAAUAUGGCCAAGCCUAAGAUGGCACAAAUACUUCUGGUUUGUUUGAUCUCUGGAUCUUUUGGAUCCUUUGGCACUCACUUCUUGCUUAGAUACAUUCACAGAUACAUCUAUAUGUAAGUGAUAGAGACUGUCAAUCAUAAAACCACGUGCGACUAAUUUAUUUCUGAAAUAAAUAGAACAACAGUCUUUGUCAAAUGUAAAAACAUGACCAUCCUAUGCUAAACAUGAAACGAAAAUCAAAUUUCUACUAAUAGUAGGUACAUAAUAACAGUCUCUAAGCAAUAAACUAAAACCAGAUGGUAGUCGCAGAGGAUAAGUGCCCACAGCCACAGCAGCAACUUUUACCCCGUUGCCAAUCCGAAGGGUUACUGCACCUUCCCCUAGUCUUCUACUUUUCUUUAGAUCCUGCAUAGUAGUGCACAAAUGAGCACUAGAACUAGAAUCUAUAACCCAACUAGAAGUAGAAGAAACCGUAAGAUUAGUUUCAAUUAUGAGCAAGUCCAGCAUACCUGCUGAAGGUGUGUCUGUUUUUGUUCUUCAGGCUCUCGAGAUGUGAAGGACAAUUCCUUUUCCAGUGGCCGUCGACAUUGCAGUGGAAACAUUUUCCUUUGUCAUUAGUUUUUUUCUUUUGAACUUCCUUCUUUGGCUUCUUGUCUUUUUUGUACUUCUUCGUUGGCUUCUUCUUCUUCCAAGUAGACUUUCUCUUGGAACCAGAAGUCAACUCAGCAGCAAGGACAUUGCCCCUUGAACCUUUCAAGGCUCUCUCAGCAGUUACCAACAUAUUUAACAGUUCAGUCUUAGUGCAUUCAAUCUUAUUCAUGUGGUAGUUUACUAUAAACUAUCCAAAUUAAUCAGGAAGGGACUGCAGGAUCAGAUCUAUUUGCAAUUCCUUGUACAUGUUCAUACCGAGCUUCUCAAGCUCCUCUCGGUUCUUGAUCAUAGUCAGACCGUGAUCAUGGACAGACUGCCCCUCGCGCAUCUUUGCCUUGAAGAGCCUUUUGGACACUUCAAAACGAGCUGUGCGACUCUACUUACCAUACAACUCUUGCAGGUGUGAUAAUAUCUACCUAGCAGUCUUCAUAUUCUUAUGCUGACAUUGGAGUUCAUUGGACAUGGAUGCCAUGAUGUAGCACCUGACCCUAAUAUCAUCAUCCGUCCACUUUUGAUGCGUUUCAUGUUGAUCAUUAGUAGGACGUGCUAGUAAUAUGGGGAUAUCCCUUUCGAGUACAUAGCCUAGUUUCUUGCAAUUCAGAACGAUUUUGAGGUUUCUAAGCUAGUCCUUGUAAUUGGCUCCGGUCAGUCAGUUGGUCUUAAGGAUACGGGUCAAAGGAUUUGAAGCCGACAUUGUGAUCUAUAGAGAGUAAAGAUUCUAGUUAAACUUUUGUACUUGAUCCUAAUUUGUUCUAGGGUCUUUUAGAACAAAUGUACCUCCCACUAUUUUUUCGAAUCCCUCACACUCCCUUGGUGGAGAAAUGAAAGCCCUACGCGACUAGAAUUUUUAGUGGGUGCUGCGGUCCCACCGAUUUACAUGACACCUCACCUAACAGUUAUUGGUGACACAUAAAUGGAUGAGUAUAUAACUCUUGUACAAUGCUUCUCUAGUAUAUUGCAGUGCUACUUGGUCUCUAAGUCAUGAAGAUCUCACCUAACAGUUAUUGGUCCCAUUCCUUAGUUAAGUCAGACCCACCGUAUAAUCGUAGAAAUAAAGUCAUCAUUGGGUCCUCACCUAAUAGUUAUUGGCGCCCAACCCUAGCUUUACCCUACAACAUCUCAUGUCUAUAGAGAGGUCCAGUCCCCCGAUGUAACUUGCCCACUGUGUCCAGCCGAGACAAAUCAACACCGGAAAGACCUUAGCAGCUCUACUAAGGUGGAAGACCUAUAGACUUAAUAUUGUGUAAUCAUGUCUUAGUGUUUGCAACCUUGAGCUCUUCAUAAGAGGUAAUCGAAUAAUUGGCCAGGUAAGCAGGUGGGAGGCUCCCCUUACCCAGAGAGUAAUGUUCUAAUUAAGUAACUACCUUUCAUGCUUUUCUAGACACCAAUUAGAUCAAUUAAUCUAAUAUGACUCGCUCAUGUUGGUUCUGGUUCGGACACCAGUAUCGGACCGCCACUGAUGCAGGUCUACGGUCGUCGCAGGAGGAGGGUCUAGCCACUCUCGUUAUGGCUGGACUGAGUUGAUGUUAGUUUAUUUUAUGUUGACUGGGUUUAUGUAUAUAUUGUUAUGUUAUGGCUUUUGUGGGAUUAGUUUAUUAGGAGGGACCUUUUCGUAUUUCGUAACCCUAUAUAUAGGGUCUAUGCAUUUCUUGACAGGUUAAUGAAUGUUGAAUAAAUUUGCUUUCCGUCUAUUUUUCUCUCUUCUUCCCUCUCUGUCCUUCCUCCUCUUUCCUCUCCAGUCCUCUCUCCUCCUUUCUCCCACCCCUCUCACGAGACAGUGCUGCAUCAGUUUUGGUAUCAGAGCUUAGGCAGGUUUGCCGCUGUUGCUAAAGCCUCGGUCCCUCUUCUGUCUCUUCCACUGUUCCUACUGUUCUCUUCUUCUUUCGGUUUCAGAUAAAAUAAACACCUUCUGCUGCCUCCUCCCUCUCUCUCGGAUCUCGCACCAGACAAAAAAAACAAAGCAGAAGCCUCUGCGGCUGGUCCUCCACUUCCAUUCUCGGCCACUUCUCCUUCCACAGAAGCACCAUGCCGGUGCAUGGCAGAGCACCGCCGGAUCCCAGGAUUCCAGUGGGCACACGAAAUCUACGCGGUACCCCGACCCCGGACGUCGGAGCGUGCUGACGGACCACGAGUGACUCCCGUUGCCAAAAAGAAGAGGAGCAUCGCCGCCCUUCUUUCGGCUCUGUCCCUCGGACCCGCCGAAGCGCCCGCCGGCCACCGCGCACACGAAGAGAGACGGGAAGACAUUACUAGUGAGAAGAGACCCUGUGCCGGAGCAGGUGACCGGUCGCCGGCCAUCACCACUGGCCACUGAGAUCCACCCGCACUGCUGGCGUGAACUUCGGCAUGAUCGGCCGUCGGGAACCGCCAGCAACCGUGGGCGUAAAUCUCGGCACGCUCACUUGAAACUGUUGGAGAGUUUCAAGUUGGUAAACGGGUAAGCUCCAAACUUGUUAACCCUCGGUCAGUAACCUGGAUCCGUUCCGGGAUAUAAAAAAAAGAAAAGAAAAAAAGAGGGUCACAUGACCCUCAUGUGAGUCCCGCACGUGACUUCCACACGUGACAACCUCAGGCGAAAGCACGUGACUUGCAUGUGCUGUUCAAAAAAAAAAGUGUACCUAUCGUCCCGACGAAGAACCCUAGAUCUUGGGUUCUGCCACCACCGCCGCCGUCGAGCAUCGCUGCCACGCCGCCACCGCCGCUGUCACCGCUCUUACCACCGCACCCACACUUUCGCAGCCUCUCGCCGCUUCCGUCGCCUCUCACACGAACGCCUUUUUUUUUCCCCAUCUCUUCUUCCUCCUUUCUUCCCGACCUUCCACUACCUUUUUCCACCCUUUAUCACCUCACUGACGGGAGGAUCGGAGAGUCCUGAACCCUCCUGAGCAUCUUCUACCACUUCACGGCCAGUCGACAUCCGGCUGUCCAUCCACCACCGCCUUCGCCCAAGCUUCACGACUACCUUUCCGCCGUUGAAGAACCGCCACCGCCACCUUUUUUCGAUUCUUCCGCUGCCACCCCACCACCCUUGCUCGCCGCUGCCUGUCCCUCGGUUGCUGCCUUCUUCUCAAACCCAUUCACCUCUCGAUCCCCAAUAUCAUCGCUCCAUUUCCCCUCUUCACCUCCCCGCUUCCACUUAUUCACAGGCCAUCAUUUUAUCAGGCCCGCACCCGAUUUCACACAGGCCCAAGCCCGAACGUCCUCCUUCCUUUGGACUUCGGCCCAGUGGCCUGACCCGACUUUGUCCACACCCACAGGCCUGCCACAUCACUGCAGAGCCCAUUGCAGCUUGCUCUUUUCCCCUCCUUUCUUUGAACCACAGCCCAGUAGGUCAUAAUUGCGCCGAUUAGUGAGCCGGUUUGCCGCACUUGAAUCAUCAUCUUCCACCAGAUCAGGUUUGCCCUUUCCUGGAUAUUUUGUUUGCUUUCAUUUUGGCAUCAAAUAGUUGUUUUGUGCUUGGUGGUAUACUCUGAAUAUCCAAAACACACGCUCUCACACACCUCCACGCAACAUACAGUAAUCUUUNNNNNNNNNNNNNNNNNNNNCUUGAAUCAUCAUCUUCCACCAGAUCAGGUUUGCCCUUUCCUGGAUAUUUUGUUUGCUUUCAUUUUGGCAUCAAAUAGUUGUUUUGUGCUUGGUGGUAUACUCUGAAUAUCCAAAACACACGCUCUCACACACCUCCACGCAACAUACAGUAAUCUUUGUGACAACCCUCUUUAUUAUUAAUUGUAGAGCUAGUUAUCGUUGGGGCCUACAAGGUUUCGUGACACCUGAUCAUCCACUGGACCCUACUCUACUUGACUGUGGAUACUUGUUGACUUGCGUCCCUUUCUAGUUCCCAGUUUAGAGUAUUUCUCUGUUCGAGCAUAGUCUUGUGUUAUAUUGAGCAUCCACCUUGCAUUUUAAUUGACUUUGCAUGCAUUAGGUCAACUUCACAUCAUUAUUGUCGUCCUAUGAUAGGAUAGCAUAUAAUUAAGUCUACUCUUCAUAUGCACCUUCGUAGUGGUCGUGUCCUAUCACAUUCUAACACCCAGUCUACUGUGGACGACCGCAUCGAAGCCCUAUUGAAAGCUGUGGAAGACUUGACCACUAUAUCCACUCAUACCCAUGCCCGCCUAGAGUCGGUUGAAUCCUCCCUACAUAGGCUCAUAGAAUCCAAAGAAGAUGCGGCAGCCCACUUCCCCGAUCUCGACUUCGAUGAAACAUGGAACCCCACGGCUCUGUUCGACAGGGAAAUUUUGACACUGUACCCUUACCAGGACGUCAUCAUGCAUACCCAUGCUCUAGAGGAUCGGGCACCAUCCCUCAUGCUGACCGGGGUCAUCGCUUUAAUGUGGAACCUAGGCAGCCUCGUGACCAUGAGGACGAUGUGUUGAAGGGCAUUCGUGUUGAAGCCCCUACCUUUGAUGGUCGCUUAGACCCAAAAGUCUUUUCAAACUGGUUGCAUGAAAUGGACCACUUCUUUAAGUGGUAUAAUUUGUCUGAGGACAAGAAGGUCCGGUUCUCUAGGAUGAAGUUAGUUGGUCGCGCCAAACUUUUCUGGCAAAGCACCGAACAUUUGCUAGCUAGGAGACAUCAACCUGCGAUUAUCGAUUGGGUAGAGAUGAAAGAAAAACUGAAAGAAAAGUAUCUGCCUUUUAGCUACCAAGAUGAUCUUCUCGAUCGGUGGAAUACUUUGCGACAAGGUAAUCGGUCCGUUAGUGAUUACAUCGCCCAAUUUGACGAAUUUAUGAUGCGUUGUAAUGUGGAAGAAAAUGAACGGAUGGUCCUAAGCAGGUUUCGAAGAGGUCUUAAUGAUGAGCUUAGGAAGGAACUCAUCCUUCGGAAAAUAUCCACCCUCGACCAUGCCUAUACAUUCGCCCAGAACUAUGAGCAGAUAGCCAGGUCUACAUUUGCUCGACGUUUUGACCUUCGCGGACCACCCACCAGCGUUUCCCCUUCAGGAUCUCGACAUCCGCUUGGGCCCACGCCUUCUAGACCUGUUUCCUCCAACCCUACCUCUAACCGGGACACUAAGGGCAAGGGCAUUCUUGGCGAAGCCCCGAAGGCAAGUUCCCAAAUCCAAUGCUUUAAAUGCCAGGGUUUUGGUCAUGUCGCUUCCCAAUGUGCGAACACUUCUCUUGUCGUUGCAGCACAACAAUAAGAGGAUCAUAACGAUGAAUUAGAAGAACAAAUCUAUGAACCAAAUUUAGACGACAUCCAUGAUGUCGAGGAUGACCACGAAGAACGUACCGACACUUUAGGAUGCAUCCGAACCACAACUCCAUCGAUUGUGACCGAAUCAAUUCAAUCUAUUAUGAAUGUAGUACGUUGUGCUCUCGCCCAACCCAAGGAACAGGCUGACUGGAGGCGUACUUCGAUCUUCCACACUUAUCUUAAGUGCGGAGAUAAGGACUGUAAAGUUAUCAUUGAUAGCGGGAGCUGCAUUAAUGCAAUAUCAUCAAAUAUUGUCUCUCGCUUAGGUUUGACUCCCGUUCCUCAGACCCAACCUUACGAGGUCUCCUGGAUUGACACAUCUUCUAUUCAAAUUAAAGAACGGUGUCUCGUCCCAAUUCAAAUCCUUUCGUAUAAAGACACCAUCUGGUGUGAUGUAAUUCCGAUGGACGUAGGUCACCUAAUAUUGGGAAGACCUUGGUUGUUCGACCUUGAUGUCACCAUCUUUGGUCGUUCUAAUUCUUGUUCCUUCAUAUUUGAGGGCAAGAGAAUUAAACUUAAUCCCCUACGGUCUAGGACACUUGACGAGGGCAAGAAGACCAGUGAGACCAAGAGCAAAGAACUCCAUAUUCUGAGUCCAUCCAAAUUUGAACGGGACAUCUCUAGUGAUUCUGUAGUGUACGCUUUACUUGUUCUCAAAAACCAACUGAUUCCACCAAGCAAGCUACCAGCAGAUGGUAAACUCAUCCUUGAGGAGUUUUCGGAAAUUUUCCCUGAAGAACUCCCGGAUCACCUGCCGCCCUUGCGUGACAUACAGCACGCUAUUGAUCUAGUUCCGGGAGCUACCCUACCUAACCUACCCCACUAUCGAAUGAAUCCUUCUGAACAUGCUGAGCUGCAACAGCAAAUUAACGAGCUCAUCCGAAAGGGGUUCAUUCGUGAAAGUUUAACUCUGUGUGCCGUACCUGCACUCCUAACUCCAAAGAAAGAUGGCAUGUGGAGGAUGUGUAUCGACAGUCGGGCCAUUAACCGAAUUACAGUCAAAUCCCGUUUUCCCAUCCCUCGGCUCGAUGAUAUGUUGGAUAUGAUGGCAGGCGCCACUAUUUUCUCCAAAAUUGAUUUAAAAAGUGGGUAUCAUCAAAUCCGGAUCCGUCCCGGUGAUGAAUGGAAAACGACUAUUAAAACAAAAGCUGGCCUGUAUAAGUGGUUGGUCAUGCCUUUUGGACACUCAAAUGCCCCUAGUAUUUUUAUGCGAGUGAUGAGCCAAGUACUACGACCUUUCAUGGGCAAAUUUUUAGUCGUAUAUUUUGAUGACAUCCUUAUCUACAGCCAAUCAAAGGAGCAACAUCUCGAUCAUGUACGACUGGUAUGUACAACCCUGCGGAAUGCCAAACUAUAUGCAAACCUUAAGAAAUGUUCGUUCUUUACUUCUUCUGUCAAUUUCUUAGGUUACAUUGUCUCCUCAGAAGGUUUGUCCGCUGAUCCUGAUAAAAUCACUGCGAUAGUCGAGUGGCCUGAACCAAAAACCAUCACUGAGGUUCGCAGCUUUCAUGGGCUGGCUACUUUUUACCGUCGUUUCAUUAAGGGGUUUAGCACACUAAUGUCCCCAAUCUCUGAUUGCCUAAAAAGGGGCGACUUUCAUUGGACUAGCACUGCUGCUAACGCAUUCCACGAUGUCAAGAAGCGGAUGACAGAGGCGCCAGUUAUGCGUUUGCCAGACUUUAGUAAGGCGUUUGAAGUGGAGUGUGAUGCAUCUGGCCUUGGCAUCGGUGGGGUGCUCAGUCAAGAACGCCAUCCCAUAGCAUACUUUAGUGAGAAGUUAAACGAGGCUAAGUAAAAAUACUCUACCUAUGAUAAGGAAUUUUAUUCUGUAGUCCAGGCUCUCCGGUAUUGGCGCCACUACUUGCUACCCAAUGAAUUCAUACUUUACUCCGAUCAUGAAGCUCUUCGCUACCUUAACUCCCAAAAGAAGUUGAAUUCUAGGCAUGCCAAAUGGGUUGAGUUCCUUCAGGAAUAUACUUUCGUUCUCAAACACACAUCGGGUGCCUCCAAUACUGCUGCUGAUGCACUGAGCCAGCGAGUGACCCUACUCUCGACCAUGUCCAUACAUGUUACUGGCUUCGAAAGACUCAGAGAUGACUACUCCACUUGCCCCGAUUUUGCAGAACUCUACAAAACCAUUGCUGAUGGACAUGAACCCUCAAUUGAUGGAUUUUAUCUUUAGGAUGGUUAUUUGUUUAAAGCAGCAAAGCUCUAUAUCCCAUGGACAUCAGUAAGAGAAUUUUUGGUGUGGGAAGUACAUGCCGGUGGCCUUUCCGGACACUCUGGGCGAGAUAAGACCAUUGAAGAGGCUGAACGUCAAUUCUUCUGGCCUAGCCUAAAACGGGACGUUGCUAAAAUCACUAGCCAAUGUCGAACGUGCCAACUAGCCAAACACCAGAAACAAACACUGGUCUCUACACCCCCUUACCGAUACCUGAUCGUCCUUGGCAUGACAUUAGUUUGGACUUUGUGCUUGGUCUUCCCCGUACCGUCCGACAACAUGAUUCUAUUCUUGUCAUAGUGGAUCGUUUCUCCAAAAUGGCCCACUUCAUUCCGUGUUCCAAAACCUCGGAUGCUUCCAAAGUGGCCAAACGCUUCUUUGCUGAGAUUGUUAAACUUUAUGGCCUUCCCCNNNNNNNNNNNNNNNNNNNNCCAAAAUGGCCCACUUCAUUCCGUGUUCCAAAACCUCGGAUGCUUCCAAAGUGGCCAAACGCUUCUUUGCUGAGAUUGUUAAACUUUAUGGCCUUCCCCACACCAUCGUGUCUGACCGGGAUGUACGUUUCAUGAGUUAUUUUUGGAAAACUUUGUGGCACUCGGUUGGUACGAAACUUAAAUUUUUCAAUGCUUACCAUCCGCAAACUGACGACCAAACAGAAGUGGUAAACCGAAGUCUAGGUAAUCUUUUACGGUGCCUUGUGGGUGAACAUAUUCGUAACUGGGAUUCAGUUCUUCCUGUCGCACAGUUCGCAUAUAAUAAUUCAGUCAAUCGGUCCAUUGGCAUGAGUCCAUUUGAGGUCGUACAUGGUUACAAAGCUCGAAAACCUUUAGAUCUUUUACCCAUGUCACCCCAUGUUAGGAUUUUUGAGUCUGCACACGCAUUUGCACAACAUAUUCAUGAGUUACAUGAGGAAAUCCAAAAGCGCAUACAUGCUAGUAAUUCUCAAUAUAAACUGCAAGCUGAUUCUCAUAGACGGGACAAAAUAUUCCACCCUGGGGACUAUGUUAUGGUACGUAUUCGACUAGAGUGGUUCUCGCAGGGGACCGUUAAGAAACUGCAGGCUCGUAGUGCGGGACCAUUUCGGAUAUUGCACCGGGUGGGGACGAAUGCCUAUGUUCUUGACCUCCCCUCAGAUUAUGGUAUCAGCUCCACUUUUAAUAUUGAAGAUUUGGUUGCUUACAAGGGUCCACUAUCCAUCCCAGAUGACUCUUUUGUUGCGUCCCAUCUUGAGCCCGCUACUUCCCAUAUCCCUGAGUCCAUACCAUCUUCCCUUCCUUUGCCUCUCCCACCAGCACAGAAAGAACUUAUUGAUGCCAUUUUAGAUGAGCAAACUAUUUUAUCCAGUGCUGCUAGCAUUCAGCGUUUUUUAGUUCGUUAGCGUGGCCGCCCAGAGUCCGAUUCGACUUGGAUCACACGAGAGGAGCUUCAGCGCAUUGAUCCCGACCUUUUGGAGUAUUACCAGAGCUGCACUAUUCCACAUUCGUCGAGGUCGACUUCUUCUGACCCGGGGGGAGUUGGUGCGGACACCAGUAUCGGACCGCCAGUGACGCGGGUCUACGGUCGUCGCAGGAGGAGGGUCCAGCCACUCUCGUUAUGGCUGGACUGAGUUGAUGUUAGUUUACUUUAUGUUGACUGGGUUUAUGUAUAUAUUGUUAUGUUAUGGCUUUUGUGGGAUUAGUUUAUUUGGAGGGACCUUUUCGUAUUUCGUAACCCUAUAUAUUGGGUCUAUGCAUUUCUUGACAGGUUAAUGAAUGUUGAACAAAUUUGCUUUCCGUCUAUUUUUCUCUCUUCUCCCCUCUCUGUCCUUCUUCCUCCUCUUUCCUCUCCAGUCCUCUCUCCUCCUUUCUCCUACCCCUCUCACGAGACAGUGCUGCAUCAGGUUUACUCUCAACUGAUUGAGGAGGUUUUGGUUUAGGUCCUUUUCGAUUGAUUAUCUACAUCUCAUGCACAUAUCCAUCUACCCGCUAUGCAUAGGCAUAAACAUAAACAUCCAGGCAUAUAUAACAAAAUAAAUUUAACUGGUGAUGAUCAUGGAUCCAAGAUGGGUCAUAGUAAGCACAUGCACGUCAAUUGGUUAUAUCGUCUUUAACUCUUGACUUGAUUUUGAUCCCUUAGGUCUAAUUGUGAUCAAUUCCUUGAUCCAUUUUCGAUCAACAUGGAUCCAAGAUGGGUCAUAGUAAGCACAUGCACGUCAAUUGGUUAUAUCGUCUUUAACUCUUGACUUGAUUUUGAUCCCUUAGGUCUAAUUGUGAUCAAUUCCUUGAUCCAUUUUCGAUCAACCUUUGAUCUCGAUCCGCGCAACGCUUGCUUGUAGAGGGCAUGCAUCGAUCAACCAUCGACGUGCAACAUACAUCACUGAUUGCAUCCCAGAUAAAAUUCAAAAAUAAAAGAAUAAUUACAACCCCUUUUCUUGAGACAUGCAGGUCUCUAUUACAUGAACUUAAGAUGCACGCAGGCAUAUGAAAAACUAAAUUACAUGUCAUCACAUAACAUCACAGAACAUCGCAGAACAUUUCAGCACAAUCACAAAGGGUCAUCCAUGAUCAUCACCAUAUGCAUCACAUGCAUAAAUAUAAUUUUCAGAUCUGAAAUUUAACUGAUUAUGUCAUCUCAUGAGUUGCUGAUUACAUUUGAUAUGAUUCUAAAUAUUUGUAAUCACAUUAACAACACAAUAUAAUCAUUAAUCUACGCAUAUCAAAUUUAGCAUGUAGAAAAAUCAGCAACCUGAAAAUUCUGUAUGCAGAAAAAUCAGCAAGCAUAAUCUUUAAAUUUUCAGAUCUAAUAUGCCUUUAACGAUUAGUCCUAAUCUUAAUCUAUACAACCUAGGCUCUGACACCACUGUUGGGAACCCGUCCAUGCUGCAGAAAAAUCAGAUUAGAAGUGCAGCGGAAGGGGCAUGCGCGGGAUCGACGUUCAUUGCAUGAACGUAUUUCAAAAAACCGUCGUUCGUAGAUAGAUUAGGAUUAAAAACUUUUAAACCAUUAGGAAGAUCAGAUCUUCAUCUUGUGCGGGUAGAUGAUCACCGCAAAUUGAUGUUCGUGGUUUUGGAUGAAGGUUCGCUUGAAGCUGCACACGUGUCCGGCCUCUACGGGUAUCCAUACGAAGCAGAGGACCGAUCAAAGCUUUCUUGUCUUCCCGGGGUGCUAGCUCCCUUGCAGAGACAACUCUUGAUGGCUGAAAUCCUUCCUUUGAAUCAACCCUUGAUUUCCUUAGGAAGGAUGAAGAGAAAGGAGGGAUCUGGAAGAGGAACCAAAGGCUACUUGCAGCCUUUCUCCUUUCCCUGCGCUGGAACCAAGGAAGAAGGUCAAGAGGAGGUGCACGCCGCCUCUUCUUUUCUCCUUGCUGAUGGCGGCUGAAGACCAAGAGGAAGGAGGGGCGUACGACACAAGGGAGAGGAUUUCCAAUGCCCUAGGUGCUGCCCCUUUGAUUCCUUUAAAGGAGCUCCUGACUAAUUCCCAAGAGGGGCGCCGGCCCCUCUUUGUUUUGCCGCACCAAGGAGAAAAAGAGGAGGGGCGAUGAGGUGGCCCUCAUAUGGUCUAGUCCUAAUCUAAUUAGGCUUCAACCAAGUGUGAACCAAUUUGGGUUCUAAUCUAUGCAAGUUCUAAUCCAAUUAGAACUUAAAUGAAUCAUGACUCAAUUGAACUCUUCAAUCCUAAUCCAAUUAGGAGUCAUGUUAAUUCAUUAGAUUAAUAAUUAAUUAGGAUUUAAGAAAUUCUAAUCCAAUUAGGACUUAUUCAAUUUUAGUCCUAAUCCAAUUAGGACUCUAAUUUGAAUCCAUAGUCCUAAUCAAAUUAGGACUCUAGGAAUUCUACUUUAAGUAGGACUCUGAUUCGAAUUCGAAAUCCUAAUUCAAUUAGGACUCUAGGAAUCCUACUCUAAGUAGGACUCACAAUCCUAAUCUAAUUAGAACUCUAGAAAUCCUACUCCAAGUAGGAUUCGUGUUUAAGUCCAAUUAAUCAAAUCUCAUUAUUCCUUCUUCAACUCAUUAUCAAUGAAAUUGAUUAUUCGUGAUUCAUAAUCAUAAUUCAACCAUCGGAUCGGUCAAUACUUCUAAUGUGUGUGACCCCAUAGGUUCUAUUCUGUCUGGUAGUGAGAUGUAUUGCGAUCUCUAUCACAAUAUCAUUGAAUACUGCUUUCAAUGGGUUGGAAUAAUUCCAACUCAACUCAUCAGGAAUCAUCGACCAUCGAGAUAGUCCCUGUGAGUCUCAUCAUCCACCAGCGACACCUAGCAGCAUGUGGUAGCCACCCAGCAGAAUGGAAUGAUGAACAUCUAGGUGCAGUUAUCGUAUGAUACAGUCCUUCUAUCGUGGAUCCCUACAGGACGGAGGUCAUGGACAACUCAUCAAACCGCAUCGUCUGUCAUAUGUCAGGAUUUAUUCGACUUAAGUUCGAGAGUGGAAAACUCUUUUUCCACUGUACGUACUGCUCCGGCCGAGGUCUUACGAACUCAGUCUUAUAAAUCAUAUAGGAUCAUUCCUUAUCUAUCAAAAUCGAUAGAUUCUAUGUAGGUGCAUACCCUACUCCUACAGUGAACCUACUGCAGCCAAUUUACACUACAAGGGCCCGUAUAUUUAGAAACCAUGUAUACAUGCAGUUAAAUUACAAUAACCUCACUGUGAGUAGCCGAAGUACCGCAGGUCAAAGGAUCAGUCACACUACUGCAACAUCAAGCAAGUCACUGACGAGUGGAUAGACAUUCAAGUGACUUCUUGUCUUGGUCACGCUCAGUACCCUUGUUCUCUAACAAGCAGCUGCACUAUCACUUCAGUGUCCCUACACUGUGGACUCGAGUCUCGUCUAUCCAUAAGGAAAGCAAUGCGUGCACUGAUCUCAUCGGAUCGAUCACCAUCCUCGCGAUGAUCUAUCGAUCAGGAGCAUUUAGAAAUUAAUCACCCAUGAUACAUGGCUCAAAUUCUCAACUUUUGAAAAUAUGCAUCAUUAUCUUA